Long non-coding RNA from Sinocyclocheilus anshuiensis, 170 nucleotides. RefSeq lists it as uncharacterized. NCBI's taxonomy places the organism in Eukaryota, Metazoa, Chordata, Actinopteri, Cypriniformes, Cyprinidae. The transcript has 3 exons. The record is from RefSeq and is a predicted model, not a curated record.
UUCCGUGUGCACACUGUCAUGACCCUGGAGCAGCAGGACCUGGUGUGUUUCACAGCCCAAACACUGGUGAGGGUUCUCUCUCAUGGAGGAUACCGAAAGAUCUUGGGCCUUGAAGGAGAUGCUAGUUAUCUCACCACUGAGAUGUCUACAUGGGAUGGAGUGAUUGUCAC